CUUGAAACACACCCCCAUAAAUGGGUUUUGUGGGAUUGGGUGCUGUCGCACGCCAUAUUGAUUGACACGACUCUCGGCAAUGGAUAUCUCGGCUCUCGCAUCGAUGAAGAGCGCAGCGAAAUGCGAUAUGUGGUGCGAAUUGCAGAAUCCCGCGAACCAUCGAGUCUUUGAACGCAAGUUGCGCCUGAGGCCAAUCGGUUGAGGGCACGUCCGCCUGGGCGUCAAGCAUUUUAUCGCUCCGUGCCUAGUCUCCCAUCCAUGGAUGUGUUGCCAAGGCUCGGAUGUGCACGGUGGCUCGUCGUGCCCAUUGGUGCGGCGGGCUGAAGGUCGAGUCAUCUUCUCGUUGGUUGCCAACAAUAAGGGGUGGAUUAAAUAAGGCCUAUGUUAUUGUGUCAAGCGCGCCUGAGAGAUGGUCAUACUUUUUAGGUGAUCCCAGUUCAUGCGUCGAUCCAUGGAUGGCGU
RNAcentral lists this ribosomal RNA (462 nucleotides) under Dendrobium nobile. RNAcentral's name for it is "eukaryotic LSU rRNA". The stretch from base 69 to 224 matches the Rfam family "5.8S ribosomal RNA". The record is from RNAcentral. Lineage: Eukaryota; Viridiplantae; Streptophyta; Magnoliopsida; Asparagales; Orchidaceae.